CCUACGGGAGGCAGCAGUGAGGAAUAUUGCACAAUGGGCGAAACCCUGAUGCAGCGACGCCGCGUGAGUGAAGACGUAUUUCGGUGUGUAAAGCUCUAUCAGCAUGGAAGUAAAUGACGGUACCUGAUUAAGAAGCCCCGGCUAACUACGUGCCAGCAGCCGCGGUAAUACGUAGGGGGCAAGCGUUAUCCGGAUUUACUGGGUGUAAAGGGAGCGUAGACGGCAGCACAAGUCUGGAGUGAAAUGCCGGGGCUUAACCCCGGAACUGCUUUUGAAACUGUGCAGCUAGAGUGCAGGAGAGGUAAGUGGAAUUCGUAGUGUAGCGGUGAAAUGCGUAGAUAUUAGGAGGAACACCAGUGGCGAAGGCGGCUCACUGGACUGUAACUGACGUUGAGGCUCGAAAGCGUGGGGAGCAAACAGGAUUAGAUACCCGAGUAGUC
RNAcentral lists this ribosomal RNA (440 nucleotides) under uncultured bacterium. RNAcentral describes it as "partial 16S ribosomal RNA". It matches the Rfam family "Bacterial small subunit ribosomal RNA", at positions 338 to 795 of the family's 1533-position model. The record is from RNAcentral.